Molecule: ribosomal RNA, 621 nt
Filed under: Triticum aestivum (bread wheat)
Lineage: Eukaryota; Viridiplantae; Streptophyta; Magnoliopsida; Poales; Poaceae
Description: partial small subunit ribosomal RNA
Source: RNAcentral
AUGGGCAACGAGUUCGACUACCUGUUCAAGCUCCUCCUGAUCGGCGACUCCUCCGUCGGCAAGUCCUGCUUCCUCCUCCGUUUCUCCGACGAUUCGUAUGUGGACAGCUACAUUAGCACCAUCGGCGUUGACUUUAAAAUCCGCACUCUCGAGAUGGAUGGGAAGACCAUCAAACUGCAGAUUUGGGACACAGCAGGACAGGAGCGGUUCAGAACCAUCACAAGCAGCUACUACCGAGGGGCUCACGGCAUCAUCAUUGUCUAUGACAUCACGGACAUGGAGAGCUUCAACAAUGUCAAGCAAUGGCUGAGCGAGAUCGACAAGUACGCCAACGACAGUGUGCGCAAGCUUCUUGUUGGUAACAAGUGUGAUCUGGCUGAGAGCAGGGUCGUCGAUACUGCCGUAGCACAGGCCUAUGCUGAUGAGAUGGGUAUUCCUUUCCUAGAGACAAGUGCUAAAGAAUCCAUCAAUGUUGAAGAGGCCUUUUUGGCAAUGUCUGCAGCAAUCAAGAAGAGCAAAGCUGGAGGCCUGGAGAGGAAGGCCUCUAAUCUGGUGCAGAUGAAAGGCCAGCCAAUUCAGCAGCAGCAGCACAAGCAGAAGAGCAGCUGCUGUUCAACAUGA